GGACGGGUGAGUAACACGUGGAUAACCUACCUAUAAGACUGGGAUAACUUCGGGAAACCGGAGCUAAUACCGGAUAAUAUAUUGAACCGCAUGGUUCAAUAGUGAAAGACGGUUUUGCUGUCACUUAUAGAUGGAUCCGCGCCGCAUUAGCUAGUUGGUAAGGUAACGGCUUACCAAGGCAACAUGCGUAGCCGACCUGAGAGGGUGAUCGGCCACACUGGAACUGAGACACGGUCCAG
RNAcentral lists this ribosomal RNA (239 nucleotides) under uncultured Staphylococcus sp. RNAcentral describes it as "partial 16S ribosomal RNA". It matches the Rfam family "Bacterial small subunit ribosomal RNA", at positions 100 to 334 of the family's 1533-position model. The record is from RNAcentral. Lineage: Bacteria; Bacillati; Bacillota; Bacilli; Caryophanales; Staphylococcaceae.